GUAUUUAUUGUGUUAUCCACAAGUGUUACAUUCUUAAACUGAAGCGUUUGUUAAAAACAUAGACAAGGCUUUCGAACCGACCGAAGUCAGCCCUACGACCAUGCCUACAAUAGGUGCACAGGGGUUUGAAAUGGACAGAGCGUGCGACACCAUUUUGGCAUGCAACAACUCCUUGUUAUUUCGUUAAUGAUCCUUCCGCAGGUUCACCUACGGAAA
Molecule: unclassified non-coding RNA, 216 nt
Filed under: uncultured fungus
Lineage: Eukaryota; Fungi
Description: sequence contains ITS1
Source: RNAcentral